GUUUUUUACUAUGACUUUUUCAGAUCGAAUUAGUAAAAAGAUAAAUAAAAAGAAAUAGUUUUCAAAUCUGUUAGGAAAAAAACCGAUUUCCCUCUCAGGUCACGGCAUAACCGGAUGGAAGAAAUAACAAUAAAGAAACCAACAAGCCCAAAAUAAUAAUGAGUAAAUACAUGAGAGAACACACCAAGUUCGACAGAUAACCUGCCUACAUCCACAGACAGUAUUGUCAAUUCUUCACUAUGAGAAUAAUAACCGUACAAAAUACAUAUUGAGUUAAAUACACAUAACCCAAUAUAACACUCAAAAGUUUUAUACCCAAACCCGAGUCCCUUGUACACCCACUCACAGUAUUUCCCAAAACUCACUGUCACUUCCAAGAGAUAUACCCUCUCUUGAACCCUUGAUGAACCCAGCUAACUCCCAGCUGAAACAUCCUCCUGGAGUUGGACUGCUUGCUUGCAUCUCACAAGCAACCCACUCUCCUUCUCUGUCGUGCUCUCUCUCUCUCUGCCUUCUCCUUUGGUGUGGCUGAAGCACACCAGCCCACAACCCUCUCAUGCUUUUGCUGCGACACAAGCACACACUCCCACUUGCAUGCACCCUCCCCUUUUAUAAAC
This 617-nucleotide long non-coding RNA is filed under the name Prunus dulcis (almond). RNAcentral's name for it is "sRNA ncRNA". Lineage: Eukaryota; Viridiplantae; Streptophyta; Magnoliopsida; Rosales; Rosaceae. The record is from RNAcentral.